RNAcentral lists this ribosomal RNA (253 nucleotides) under uncultured bacterium. RNAcentral's name for it is "partial 16S ribosomal RNA". It matches the Rfam family "Bacterial small subunit ribosomal RNA", at positions 524 to 776 of the family's 1533-position model. The record is from RNAcentral.
UACGUAGGGUGCGAGCGUUAAUCGGAAUUACUGGGCGUAAAGCGUGCGCAGGCGGUGAUGUAAGACAGAUGUGAAAUCCCCGGGCUCAACCUGGGAACUGCAUUUGUGACUGCAUCGCUGGAGUGCGGCAGAGGGGGAUGGAAUUCCGCGUGUAGAAGUGAAAUGCGUAGAUAUGCGGAGGAACACCGAUGGCGAAGGCAAUCCCCUGGGCCUGCACUGACGCUCAUGCACGAAAGCGUGGGGAGCAAACAGG